CAACCUUCCUGCCUCAGCCUCCCAAGUAGCGAGGAUGACAAAGGUGUGUGCCAUCAUUCCCAGCUCUCCUUUCUUUCCUUUUUAAUUUUUUUAAAAAAUGAGAUAUAAUUCUUAAACCAUAAAAUUUGCCUUUUAAAACAUGUGCUCCUGGGUCUUAGUAUAUGGACAAGGUUGCAGCAAGCAUCACUUUCAUUCAAUUCCAGAACACUUGCAUCACCCCAAAAAGAAACCCUGGACCCAGUAGAAUCACACCCCACACCUCUUUCAGCCUCUGACACCCACUAAGCCACUCUUUGUCUCUGUGAAUUUGCCUAUUCUAGAUGUCAUAUAAAUGUUUUGUUUUGUUUUGUUGAGACAGAGUCUGGCUAUGUAGUUCAGGCUGGCCUCGAACUCGUGAAGAUCCCCCUGCCUCAGCCUCCCCCAGGCUGCAACGACAGGAUUUCCUCUUCCAUGGAUGCAUGGGUAAGGGUGGUCCCUACCUCUCGGAAAAGACCCGGUGUUGAGAGCCCAGCAUGGGAGCCGCCUCCGUGAAUCCACGCAACUAAUGUCCUCAACCCGCCAUAGGCUGCUUUCCGGAGGUGGCCCGGUACCCUGCUGUGGUUUUCGGAAAGGGCCACGGAGGCUCGGGAGGAUAAGCAGACUUUGGAACAGACGGGGCAGGGCGUGGACCGGGAAAGGCCACUCAGCCUCCGCGCACCCGGGGCUGGAAGACACGGUGGUCCCCGCGGCGCUGCGUGUGUGGCCCGGGCCCGGCCCCCGCCUCUGAUCUCCCUCUCUGGGUCUCUUUGUCUCGGCCUCUCCGCCUGUCUGGGUUACGGGUCUCCGUCCCAGUCUUUGUCCCUCUCCGCGUCUCCCCUCGCUCACUUUCUCCCCGCGGCCCCCUCCUUCUGUCCUUCUCUUUUGUGUUUCUGCUCUUUGCCUCUCUCUCUGGCCAUCUCUUUGUGUCUCUGCCUUUGUGUAUCUCUCCCCAUCUCUCCGCGCGCCCCUGGGCUGGCGCUUGGCCUCGUUGCCUCUGC
This 1016-nucleotide long non-coding RNA is filed under the name Fukomys damarensis (Damara mole-rat). RNAcentral's name for it is "lncRNA (ENSFDAG00000032933.1)". The record is from RNAcentral. Lineage: Eukaryota; Metazoa; Chordata; Mammalia; Rodentia; Bathyergidae.